RNAcentral lists this ribosomal RNA (845 nucleotides) under Carabidae sp. NZAC 03009053. Its description in RNAcentral is "eukaryotic LSU rRNA". It matches the Rfam family "Eukaryotic large subunit ribosomal RNA", at positions 396 to 944 of the family's 3401-position model. The record is from RNAcentral. Lineage: Eukaryota; Metazoa; Arthropoda; Insecta; Coleoptera; Carabidae.
UACGUGAAACUGUUCAGGGGUAAACCUGUGGUUCCCGAAAGUUCGAACGGGGAGAUUCAAUUGCCUCGCCGGUUGUGACCAUUAAGUAGUGUAUAUUUUAUAUAUAAAUGAGACAUUGGAUACGUACGGAUUUUUAAUUCGUUACUGUUAUUUAAUGCUCCGCUAUUUUAUGUAUGGUUUAUAAACGGAGGCAUGCACUUCUCCCCUUGUAGGACGUCGUGACCCAUUGGGUAAUUGUUUAAGGCUCAUAAUGGAGACCGUAGCGUGUUAAGUUUCGGCUUGUACGUUUUCGGACUUGUGAUGUCCCGACAUUAACCUGAUGGUAUAUUAUAAUGAUGAUAAAUCGCUAUUUGAACGCGUUUUAGACCCAUAACAAAUGUGUAUAAAUUUGUGGAUACCUGACGUGUGUGCUGGCACUACUAUUAUUACAUUGUUAGUUGUGGUGUUCUCGAACCGAUUUUUAUCAUCUGUCAACGGCGUUUAUGUUUUGGGUAAUUACAGGACCCGUCUUGAAACACGGACCAAGGAGUCUAGCAUGUGCGCAAGUCAUUGGGACUUUAAUAAACCUAAAGGCGUAAUGAAAGUGAAUAUAUUGUGAGUUUUUAUAAUUCAUUUUAUUAAGGGAAGAUGGGUAAUGGAAUUUAUAUUACCUCGCAUUCCCGGGGCGUUGCGUACUCAUUGCGAGUUGCGGCGCACCAAGAGCGUACAUGCUGGGACCCGAAAGAUGGUGAACUAUGCCUGGUCAGGAUGAAGUCAGGGGAAACCCUGAUGGAGGUCCGUAGCGAUUCUGACGUGCAAAUCGAUCGUAUGAACUGGGUAUAGGGGCGAAAGACUAAUCGAACAUC